RNAcentral lists this ribosomal RNA (465 nucleotides) under Vreelandella stevensii. RNAcentral's name for it is "partial 16S ribosomal RNA". It matches the Rfam family "Bacterial small subunit ribosomal RNA", at positions 338 to 795 of the family's 1533-position model. Lineage: Bacteria; Pseudomonadati; Pseudomonadota; Gammaproteobacteria; Oceanospirillales; Halomonadaceae. The record is from RNAcentral.
CCUACGGUGUGCAGCAGUGGGGAAUAUUGGACAAUGGGCGAAAGCCUGAUCCAGCCAUGCCGCGUGUGUGAAGAAGGCCUUCGGGUUGUAAAGCACUUUCAGUGGGGAAGAAAGCCUUGGGGCUAAUACCCUCGAGGAAGGACAUCACCCACAGAAGAAGCACCGGCUAACUCCGUGCCAGCAGCCGCGGUAAUACGGAGGGUGCGAGUGUUAAUCGGAAUUACUGGGCGUAAAGCGCGCGUAGGCGGUCUGAUAAGCCGGUUGUGAAAGCCCCGGGCUCAACCUGGGAACGGCAUCCGGAACUGUCAGGCUAGAGUGCAGGAGAGGAAGGUAGAAUUCCCGGUGUAGCGGUGAAAUGCGUAGAGAUCGGGAGGAAUACCAGUGGCGAAGGCGGCCUUCUGGACUGACACUGACGCUGAGGUGCGAAAGCGUGGGUAGCAAACAGGAUUAGAUACCCCAGUAGUC